GGCUUGGUGAUGUAGUGGUCCAACAUCACGGUGACCCACAUAGGCCCGAGACGCGGGUUCGAAUCUCGCUCGAGUCA
This 77-nucleotide transfer RNA is filed under the name Nippostrongylus brasiliensis. It matches the Rfam family "tRNA". Rfam says of the family: Transfer RNA (tRNA) molecules are approximately 80 nucleotides in length. Lineage: Eukaryota; Metazoa; Nematoda; Chromadorea; Rhabditida; Heligmosomidae. The record is from Rfam by way of RNAcentral.